RNAcentral lists this long non-coding RNA (1332 nucleotides) under Sorghum bicolor (sorghum). RNAcentral's name for it is "long non-coding RNA (SBIC_LNC015184)". Lineage: Eukaryota; Viridiplantae; Streptophyta; Magnoliopsida; Poales; Poaceae. The record is from RNAcentral.
GUAGAAUUAUUGAGUGGAAAAAUCAAUUUAAAGAAAUUAAUUAAUGAAAUAUAGCAAAAAAAGUCAAAAAAUCACUAAACUUUUUAAGGUGUCAUAUUAUCACAUGUGGACCCUAUAGAAAAAAUUUGAGAAAGUUUAGAGCAGUUACAGUAUCAGAUGGACAAAAACCAGAUAUUUCCAAUAUGAUCCACAUGCGCAAGUGUUUGGGUUUUGUACAUCUGACAUCAUAACUUGCUCUAAUUUUUUUCAAAUUUUUAUCAUAGGCUCCUCAUGUGAUAACAUGACACCUCAAAAAGUUUCGUAAUUUUCUGAUUUCGUUUGAGUUUUAUAUAAUUAAAAGUCACUUCUACCACACUUGGAUGAUCAUGUUUCGUGGACAAGGACUUCAAAAUUUUGGGUUAGUUUUUGGAUAUGGUCUAAAAAUACAUUAUUCAACAUGAAUAUCAUUUUUCAAAUGACUAAGUUUUACUAUUUCAUACACCUAUAGUUCAUAGUAGGAUUAUUGAGUGGAAAAAUCAAUUUAAAGAAAUUAAUUAAUGAAAUAUAGCAAAAAAGGUCAAAAAAUCACUAAACUUUUUGAGGUGUCAUGUUAUCACAUGUGGACCCUAUAGAAAAAAUUUGAGAAAAUUUGGAGCAGUUACAGUAUCAGAUGGACAAAAACCAAACAUUCUUUGCCGACUGCCCUAGAUCCAGGUAGUCGGCAAAGAGUAUUUGUAAAUAAAAUAUACUGCUCCUUUGCCGACUGUCUGCCCUAAUAGUAGUCGGCAAAGAACUUAAGCCUAAGAGCCCCAGCGUUAUCUUGAAAAAAAAGAAAAAAACUCCCACCCGCACGCAGGCAGCAUCGCUCCUACCCCUCGUUUGAGGUGUCAUUCUAUCACAUCUAGAGCCUAUGAUAAUAAUUUCAAAAAAUUUGGAGAAAAAAAAAUGGAGCAAAUUGAGGCUACAAAUAAAUUAGAGAAAAAAGUUCUUUGCCGACUGCCCUAUAUCCAGGCAGUCGGCAAAGAAUAUUCGUAAUUAAAAUAUUUCCAGCCUUUGCCGACUGCCUUGCCAAGUGGGAGUCGGCAAAGGACUUAAAUCUAAAAGGCUUCCCAGUUACUGGACCGUGACUUGUCCGCACCCGUGCCUAAAACGAAGGAGCCAGCGCUGCCAGCACCCGCGCCUCCUCCCCUGUCCGCACCCGCGCCUACCUCCUCCCCUGCCCGCACCCGCGCCUCCUCCCCUGCAGCGAGCGCCGCCGCCGCCGCACUCCCGCCGUCGGCCGCGCCCCGCCAUCCGCAUCUCGCGAAGGUACGCCCACGCUCACGGUCUCCGGCUGCCUACUGGAUCAACCCC